UCGGGAAUUUUGGGCAAUGGGCGAAAGCCUGACCCAGCAACGCCGCGUGAAGGAUGAAGUAUUUCGGUAUGUAAACUUCGAAAGAAUAGGAAGAAUAAAUGACGGUACUAUUUGUAAGGUCCGGCUAACUACGUGCCAGCAGCCGCGGUAAUACGUAGGGACCAAGCGUUGUUCGGAUUUACUGGGCGUAAAGGGCGCGUAGGCGGCGUGGUAAGUCACUUGUGAAAUCUCCGAGCUUAACUCGGAACGGUCAAGUGAUACUGCUGUGCUAGAGUACAGAAGGGGCAAUCGGAAUUCUUGGUGUAGCGGUGAAAUGCGUAGAUAUCAAGAGGAACACCUGAGGUGAAGACGGGUUGCUGGGCUGACACUGACGCUGAGGCGCGAAAGCCAGGGGAGCAAACGGGAUUAGAUACCCCCGUAGUCCCUGAGCGGGC
Molecule: ribosomal RNA, 434 nt
Filed under: uncultured bacterium
Lineage: Bacteria
Description: bacterial SSU rRNA
Rfam family: Bacterial small subunit ribosomal RNA
Source: RNAcentral